This 253-nucleotide ribosomal RNA is filed under the name uncultured bacterium. Its description in RNAcentral is "partial 16S ribosomal RNA". It matches the Rfam family "Bacterial small subunit ribosomal RNA", at positions 524 to 776 of the family's 1533-position model. The record is from RNAcentral.
UACGUAGGUGGCAAGCGUUGUCCGGAUUUACUGGGCGUAAAGAGCGCGCAGGCGGUCGUAUAAGUCGAAUGUGAAAGCCCCCGGCUCAACUGGGGAGGGUCACGCGAUACUGAUCGACUGGAAGGCAGGAGAGGGUAGUGGAAUUCCCGGUGUAGUGGUGAAAUGCGUAGAUAUCGGGAGGAACACCAGUGGCGAAGGCGACUACCUGGCCUGUUCUUGACGCUGAGGCGCGAAAGCUAGGGGAGCAAACGGG